GCUCCGGUAGUUCAACGGAUAGAAUAGAAGUUUCCUCAACUUUUGAUAGCAGUUCGAUUCUGCUCCGGAGUACCA
RNAcentral lists this transfer RNA (75 nucleotides) under Muribaculaceae bacterium. RNAcentral describes it as "tRNA-Arg". It matches the Rfam family "tRNA". From Rfam's summary of the family: Transfer RNA (tRNA) molecules are approximately 80 nucleotides in length. The record is from RNAcentral. Lineage: Bacteria; Pseudomonadati; Bacteroidota; Bacteroidia; Bacteroidales; Muribaculaceae.